This 292-nucleotide ribosomal RNA is filed under the name uncultured bacterium. Its description in RNAcentral is "partial 16S ribosomal RNA". The record is from RNAcentral.
GGACUACUGGGGUAUCUAAUCCCGUUCGCUCCCCAUGCUGUCGUGUCUGAGCGUCAGUUGCGAGCCAGGGCGCCGCCUUCGCCUCUGGGGUUCCUCCGGAUCUCUACGCAUUUCACCACUACACCCGGAAUUCCACGCCCCUCUCUCGCACUCCAGAGCGCCAGUCUGGCAUAACCCUGCCCGGUUAAGCCGGGCCAUUUCAUACACCACUUGGCACCCCGCCUGCACACCCUUUACGCCCAGUAAAUCCGGAUAACGCUCGCCACCUACGUUUUACCGCGGCUGCUGGCAC